UACGUAGGGGGCAAGCGUUGCUCGGAAUGACUGGGCGUAAAGGGCGCGUAGGCGGACUGCACAGUCAGGCGUGAAAUUCCUGGGCUUAACCUGGGGACUGCGUCUGAGACGUGUGAUCUAGAGUUAGGAAGAGGGUCGCGGAAUUUCCAGUGUAGAGGUGAAAUUCGUAGAUAUUGGAAAGAACACCGGUGGCGAAGGCGGCGACCUGGUCCUUGACUGACGCUGAGGCGCGAAAGCGUGGGGAGCAAGCAGG
Molecule: ribosomal RNA, 253 nt
Filed under: uncultured bacterium
Lineage: Bacteria
Description: partial 16S ribosomal RNA
Rfam family: Bacterial small subunit ribosomal RNA
Source: RNAcentral